CCCUUAGAUGUCCUGGGCCGCACGCGUGCUACACUGACGCCUACAGCGAGUACUUCCCAGCCCCGAGAGGUGGCUGGUAAUCAGCAAUAGGCGUCGUGAUGGGGAUAGAUCUUUGGAAUUAUGGAUCUUGAACGAGGAAUGCCUAGUAAGCGCAGGUCAUUAGCCUGCGCUGAUUAAGUCCCUGCCCUUUGUACACACCGCCCGUCGCUCCUACCGAUUUCGAGUGGUCCGGUGAAUCUUUCGGACUGCGCGCGGCCUCGUGCCGUGUCGCGGAAAGUCAGGUAAACCUUAUCACUUAGAGGAAGGGGAANUCGUANCA
Molecule: ribosomal RNA, 319 nt
Filed under: uncultured eukaryote
Lineage: Eukaryota
Description: partial 18S ribosomal RNA
Rfam family: Eukaryotic small subunit ribosomal RNA
Source: RNAcentral